This 399-nucleotide ribosomal RNA is filed under the name uncultured bacterium. RNAcentral's name for it is "partial 16S ribosomal RNA". It matches the Rfam family "Bacterial small subunit ribosomal RNA", at positions 360 to 776 of the family's 1533-position model. The record is from RNAcentral.
AAUAUUGGACAAGGGGCGCAAGCCUGAUCCAGCCAUGCCGCGUGAGUGAUGAAGGCCNNNGGGUUNUAAAGCUCUUUUGUCCGNGAANAUAAUGACGGUACCGGAAGAAUAAGCCCCGGCUAACUUCGUGCCAUCAGCCGCGGUAAUACGAAGGGGGCUAGCGUUGCUCGGAAUCACUGGGCGUAAAGGGCGCGUGGGCGGACGUUUAAGUCAGGGGUGAAAUCCCGGGGCUCAACCUCGGAAUUGCCUUUGAUACUGGAUGUCUCGAGACCGGAAGAGGUAAGUAGAACUGCGAGUGUAGAGGUGAAAUUCGUAGAUAUUCGCAAGAGAACCAGUGGCGAAGGCGGCUUACUGGUCCGGUUCUGACGCUGAGGCGCGAAAGCGUGGGGAGCAAACAGG